This 403-nucleotide ribosomal RNA is filed under the name uncultured bacterium. Its description in RNAcentral is "bacterial SSU rRNA". It matches the Rfam family "Bacterial small subunit ribosomal RNA", at positions 355 to 775 of the family's 1533-position model. The record is from RNAcentral.
UAGGGAAUAUUAGAAAUGGACGAAAGUCUGAUCUAGCAACACCGCGUGUGCGAAGAAGGCCUUUGGGUCGUAAAGCACUUUCUGGAAGGAAUAGGAAGGAAUGUACUUCCAGAAUAAGUCUCGGCUAACUACGUGCCAGCAGCCGCGGCAACACGUAGGAGGCAAACGUUAUCCGGAUUUACUGGGCGUAAAGCGCGUGUAGGUGGUACUGUAAGUAGGGCGUGAAAGCUCCUGGCUCAACUGGGAGAGGCCGUUCUAAACUACAGAACUAGAGGAUGGUAGAGGGAGGUGGAAUUCCAGGUGUAGCGGUGGAAUGCGCAGAUAUCUGGAGGAACACCGGUGGCGAAGGCGGCCUCCUGGACCAUUCCUGACACUCAGACGCGAAAGCUAGGGUAGCAAACGG